GACGAACGCUGGCGGCGUGCUUAACACAUGCAAGUCGAACGGAAAGGCCCUGCUUUUGUGGGGUGCUCGAGUGGCGAACGGGUGAGUAACACGUGAGUAACCUGCCCUUGACUUUGGGAUAACUUCAGGAAACUGGGGCUCAUACCGGAUAGGAGCUCCUGCUGCAUGGUGGGGGUUGGAAAGUUUCGGCGGUUGGGGAUGGACUCGCGGCUUAUCAGCUUGUUGGUGGGGUAGUGGCUUACCAAGGCUUUGACGGGUAGCCGGCCUGAGAGGGUGACCGGCCACAUUGGGACUGAGAUACGGCCCAGACUCCUACGGGAGGCAGCAGUGGGGAAUAUUGCACAAUGGGCGGAAGCCUGAUGCAGCAACGCCGCGUGCGGGAUGACGGCCUUCGGGUUGUAAACCGCUUUCGCCUGUGACGAAGCGGGAGUGACGGUAAUGGGUAAAGAAGCACCGGCUAACUACGUG
Molecule: ribosomal RNA, 468 nt
Filed under: uncultured bacterium
Lineage: Bacteria
Description: partial 16S ribosomal RNA
Rfam family: Bacterial small subunit ribosomal RNA
Source: RNAcentral